UACGGAGGGUGCGAGCGUUGUCCGGAAUCACUGGGCGUAAAGGGCGCGUAGGUGGCCUGUGGAAGUCUGCGGUGAAAGCCCGGCGCUCAACGCCGGGUCGGCCGUGGAUACUCUCGGGCUUGAGCUUACUAGAGGCAGAUGGAAUUCCGGGUGUAGCGGUGGAAUGCGUAGAGAUCCGGAAGAACACCGGUGGCGAAGGCGGUCUGCUGGGGUAAUGCUGGACACUGAUGCGCGACAGCGUGGGGAGCAAACAGGAGUUAGAUACCCGUUUGAGUCC
This 277-nucleotide ribosomal RNA is filed under the name uncultured bacterium. Its description in RNAcentral is "partial 16S ribosomal RNA". It matches the Rfam family "Bacterial small subunit ribosomal RNA", at positions 524 to 796 of the family's 1533-position model. The record is from RNAcentral.